UCACUGCUGAGGAGUCCCACAAUAGGACGAAACGGCCUUGAAGUAG
This is a non-coding RNA of Schistosoma rodhaini, 46 nucleotides long. Lineage: Eukaryota; Metazoa; Platyhelminthes; Trematoda; Strigeidida; Schistosomatidae. The record is from Rfam.